Molecule: ribosomal RNA, 117 nt
Filed under: Sarcina ventriculi
Lineage: Bacteria; Bacillati; Bacillota; Clostridia; Eubacteriales; Clostridiaceae
Source: RNAcentral
UAGUGAUUAUGCUCUUUAAGGUAACACCCGUUUCCAUUCCGAACACGAAGGUUAAGCUUUUAGAGGCCGAUAGUACUGCAUAGGGAACUGUGUGGGAGGGUAGGUGGUUGCUAGGUU